UAGAGUGCNGUAGGGGAGACUGGAAUUCCUGGUGUAGCGGUGGAAUGCGCAGAUAUCAGGAGGAACACCGAUGGCGAAGGCAGGUCUNUGGGCUGUAACUGACGCUGAGAAGCGAAAGCAUGGGGAGCGAACAGGAUUAGAUACCCUGGUAGUCCAUGCCGUAAACGUUGGGCACUAGGUGUGGGGGACAUUNCACGUUUUCCGCGCCGUAGCUAACGCAUUAAGUGCCCCGCCUGGGGAGUACGGCCGCAAGGCUAAAACUCAAAGAAAUUGACGGGGGCCCGCACAAGCGGCGGAGCAUGCGGAUUAAUUCGAUGCAACGCGAAGAACCUUACCAAGGCUUGACAUAUACUGGACUGCGUCAGAGAUGGCAUUUCCCUUCGGGGCUGGUAUACAGGUGGUGCAUGGUUGUCGUCAGCUCGUGUCGUGGGAUGUUGGGUUAAGUCCCGCAACGAGCGCAACCCUCGUUCUAUGUUGCCAGCACGUGAUGGUGGGGACUCAUAGGAGACUGCCGGGGUCAACUCGGAGGAAGGUGGGGAUGACGUCAAAUCAUCAUGCCCCUUAUGUCUUGGGCUUCACGCAUGCUACAAUGGCCGGUACAGAGGGUUGCGAUACUGUGAGGUGGAGCUAAUCCCUAAAAGCCGGUCUCAGUUCGGAUUGGGGUCUGCAACUCGACCCCAUGAAGUCGGAGUCGCUAGUAAUCGCAGAUCAGCAACGCUGCGGUGAAUACGUUCCCGGGCCUUGUACACACCGCCCGUCAAGUCAUGAAAGUUGGUAACACCCGAAGCCGGUGGCCUAACCCUGGUGGGGGGG
Molecule: ribosomal RNA, 813 nt
Filed under: uncultured bacterium
Lineage: Bacteria
Description: bacterial SSU rRNA
Rfam family: Bacterial small subunit ribosomal RNA
Source: RNAcentral